RNAcentral lists this non-coding RNA (834 nucleotides) under Saproscincus mustelinus (weasel skink). Its description in RNAcentral is "partial 12S ribosomal RNA". It matches the Rfam family "Bacterial small subunit ribosomal RNA". The record is from RNAcentral. Lineage: Eukaryota; Metazoa; Chordata; Lepidosauria; Squamata; Scincidae.
UUGGUCCUAAACUUGCCAUUGUUUUUAAUAAAAAUUACACAUGCAAGUCUCAAUAUACCAGUGAGAAUGCCCACAAACCCCUAAACAGAAAACAGGAGCAGGCAUCAGGAACAACCACUAUUUGCCUAUAACGCCUUGCUACGCCACACCCACAAGGGCCAUCAGCAGUGAAAAACAUUAAGAGAUAAGCGAAAGCUUGACUUAGUUAUUAUUAAAUUGGUCGGUAAAUUUCGUGCCAGCCACCGCGGUUAUACGAAAGACCAGAAACAAUGACCAACGGCGUAAAGAGUGACAAUAGGUACCAAUUUAAAGGGUAACCGCAACAAAGUUGUAAAAUACCACCGACUGCAAGAUCACCAAACAAACCUUUAAGCCACUUAACCUCACGAAAGCUAAGAAACAAACUGGGAUUAGAUACCCCACUAUGCCUAGCCGUAAACAAAGACAGUACAAACACAAUACUGUCCGCCAGAGAACUACAAGCAAAAGACUCAAAACUCCAAGGACUUGGCGGUGCCCCACAUCAACCUAGAGGAGCCUGUCCUAUAAUCGACACCCCCCGAUCUACCUCACCCCCCUUUGAAUCUCAGCCUAUAUACCGCCGUCGUCAGCCUACCUUAUGAAAGAAGCGAAGUGAGCAAAACAGUCACCAACUAAAACGCCAGGUCAAGGUGUAGCACAUAGGGCGGAAGAGAUGGGCUACACUCUCUUACUUAGAGAACACGAACAGCACAAUGAAACACUGCUAGAAGGCGGAUUUAACAGUAAGAUAGACAAGAGAACCUAUCUUAAACAAGCCCUGGGGCGCGCACACACCGCCCGUCACCCUCAUCA